UACGAAGGGGGCUAGCGUUGCUCGGAAUCACUGGGCGUAAAGGGUGCGUAGGCGGGUCUUUAAGUUAGGGGUGAAAUCCUGGAGCUCAACUCCAGAACUGCCUUUGAUACUGAGGAUCUUGAGUUCGGGAGAGGUGAGUGGAACUGCGAGUGUAGAGGUGAAAUUCGUAGAUAUUCGCAAGAACACCAGUGGCGAAGGCGGCUCACUGGCCCGAUACUGACGCUGAGGAGCGAAAGCCAGGGGAGCAAACGGG
RNAcentral lists this ribosomal RNA (253 nucleotides) under uncultured bacterium. RNAcentral's name for it is "partial 16S ribosomal RNA". It matches the Rfam family "Bacterial small subunit ribosomal RNA", at positions 524 to 776 of the family's 1533-position model. The record is from RNAcentral.